This 72-nucleotide transfer RNA is filed under the name Bos taurus (domestic cattle). It matches the Rfam family "tRNA". From Rfam's summary of the family: Transfer RNA (tRNA) molecules are approximately 80 nucleotides in length. Their secondary structure includes four short double-helical elements and three loops (D, anti-codon, and T loops). Further hydrogen bonds mediate the characteristic L-shaped molecular structure. tRNAs have two regions of fundamental functional importance: the anti-codon, which is responsible for specific mRNA codon recognition, and the 3' end, to which the tRNAs corresponding amino acid is attached (by aminoacyl-tRNA synthetases). tRNAs cope with the degeneracy of the genetic code in two manners: having more than one tRNA (with a specific anti-codon) for a particular amino acid; and 'wobble' base-pairing, i.e. permitting non-standard base-pairing at the 3rd anti-codon position. The record is from Rfam by way of RNAcentral. RNAcentral also lists the same sequence under 1 other name. Lineage: Eukaryota; Metazoa; Chordata; Mammalia; Artiodactyla; Bovidae.
UCCCUACUGGCUCAGACAGUAAAGCGUCUGCCUACAAUGUGGGAGACCUAGGUUCAAUCCCUGGGUUGGAAA